CACGAUUUUCUUGGGUCUUCUAAAAGUUUCCUAUACAAUUAUCAUUAAGUCUGAGUUGUGUUACGAGUGGAUUUAUCCUGACAAUCGGCUCCAAAAC
Molecule: long non-coding RNA, 97 nt
Organism: Melanotaenia boesemani (Boeseman's rainbowfish)
Lineage: Eukaryota; Metazoa; Chordata; Actinopteri; Atheriniformes; Melanotaeniidae
Exons: 3
Source: RefSeq, a predicted model, not a curated record